CGGGCCACGUCUUGAGCCUGGGCGCCAGCAGCUUCGUGGAGGAGGAGCACCAGACCUGGUACUUCCUCGUGAACACCCUGUGUCUAGCUCUGAGCCAAGAAACCUACAGAAACUACUUUCUGGGAGAUGACGGUGAGCCUCCGUGUGGCCUCUGUGUGGAACAAGGGCAUGACGGGGCCACAGCAGCGUGGCAGGACGGGCCUGGCUGUGAUGUCCUGGAGCGAGACAAAGGCCACGGAAGCCCCUCUACCUCCGAAGUGCUCAGAGGCCGCGAGAAGUGGAUGGUGCUGGCCAGUCCGUGGCUAAUACUGGCCUGCUGCCGGCUGCUGCGCUCCCUAAACCAGACAGGUGUGCAGUGGGCUCACCGGCCUGACCUCGGCCAUUGGCUCACCAGCCACAGCGAGAAUGCGCUCAUUACUGCGAAGAUGGCACCAAGCCAUUCGUGAGGAAUCUGCCCCCAUGACCCAGACAUCUCCCACAAGGCUCACUUCCAACACUAGAGGUUCAGUGUCUUUUUUUUUUUCUGAAACGGAGUUUCACUCUGUCACCCAUGCUGGAGUGCAGUGGCACGAUCUUGGCUUACUGCAAUCAAGAGAUUCUCCUGUCUCAGCCCCCUGAGUAGCUGGGAUUACAGGCGCCCGCUACCAUGCCUGGCUAAUUUUUGUGUUUUUAGUGGAGAUGGGGUGUCACCAUGUUGGCUGGGCUGGCCUUGAACUCCUGACCUCAAGUGAUCCACCCACCUCGG
This 745-nucleotide small RNA is filed under the name Pan troglodytes (chimpanzee). Its description in RNAcentral is "processed transcript". Lineage: Eukaryota; Metazoa; Chordata; Mammalia; Primates; Hominidae. The record is from RNAcentral.